RNAcentral lists this ribosomal RNA (305 nucleotides) under uncultured bacterium. RNAcentral describes it as "bacterial SSU rRNA". It matches the Rfam family "Bacterial small subunit ribosomal RNA", at positions 334 to 656 of the family's 1533-position model. The record is from RNAcentral.
UUGGCCUACGGGGGGCAGCAGUGGGGAAUAUUGGACAAUGGGGGAAACCCUGAUCCAGCGACGCCGCGUGAGUGAAGAAGUAUUUCGGUACGUAAAGCUCUAUCAGCAGGAAAGAAAAUGACGGUACCUGACUAAGAAGCCCCGGCUAACUACGUGCCAGCAGCCGCGGUAAUACGUAGGGGGCAAGCGUUAUCCGGAUUCACUGAGUGUAAAGGGAGCGUAGACGGCGAGACAAGUCUGGAGUGAAAGGCCGGGGCCCAACCCCGGGACUGCUCUGGAAACUGCCUGGCUGGAGUACAGGAGAG